AGUGAACGCUGGCGGUAGGCCUUACACAUGCAAGUCGAACGGCAGCGCAGUAUUCGCUUGCGCGGACAGGUGCCGACGGGUGAGCAGUAGAGGAAUACGUGCCAAGCUACGUGGGCUUGCGCGGUGAAGUCGGGAAUAAUACGGCAAUACCGCUGACGGCCAACGCGGGGAAUCAUGGGAUCUUCCGCCCUUGCACCGGCCGAUGGCGGAUUAGCUAGUUGGUGGGGUAAAGGCCUAACAAGGCGACGAGCCGUAGCUGGUCUGAGAGGAUGAUCAGCCACACUGGAACUGAGACACGGUCCAGACUCCUACGGGAGGCAGCAGUGGGGAAUAUUGGACAAUGGGCGCAAGCCUGAUCCAGCAAUACCGCGUGUGUGAUGAAGGCCUUCGGGUUGUAAAGCACUUUUGUUGGGAAAGAAAAGCAGUAGGUUAAUACCACGCUGUUAUGACGGUACCCAAAGAAUAAGCACCGGCUAACUUCGUG
This 484-nucleotide ribosomal RNA is filed under the name uncultured bacterium. RNAcentral's name for it is "partial 16S ribosomal RNA". It matches the Rfam family "Bacterial small subunit ribosomal RNA", at positions 29 to 507 of the family's 1533-position model. The record is from RNAcentral.